GAUAGCAGCUGGAUCAGUUAGUUCAUCGGGAUCAAGGGCAACGAGUUCCUCUGCCACGUGCCUAUCGACUACAUUCAGGACUCAUUCAACCGGACGGGCCUCGAGUUCUUCACCCAGACACUGGACGUGUUCCUGAAUCUGGUGUUCGACCGUUCUAUGGACUGGGUCUCCGGUGAUGAGGAGUACGGCAUGAUUCACGCCCGAUACAUCGUGUCGAAGCGUGGCGUGAAUUAUAUGCGUCUAAAGUAUGAGAAUUGUGUCCAAAGAUCUCCUGUAACUGUCAGAAAACCCUGCCAGUGCGCCUCAGCGACGUGUGGGGAAAGUCCAACGUGAAGAUCUACUGCCCUC
Non-coding RNA from Drosophila melanogaster (fruit fly), 348 nucleotides. NCBI's taxonomy places the organism in Eukaryota, Metazoa, Arthropoda, Insecta, Diptera, Drosophilidae. The record is from Ensembl.